UUCCGGUUGAUCCUGCCGGAGGUUACUGCUAUCGGUGUUCGCCUAAGCCAUGCGAGUCAUAUGCAGCAAUACAUGGCGUACUGCUCAGUAACACGUGGAUAACCUGCCCUUGGGACCGGCAUAACCCCGGGAAACUGGGGAUAAUUCCGGAUAACGCAUAUGUGCUGGAAUGCUUUAUGCGUAAAAUGGAUUCGUCUGCCCAAGGAUGGGUCUGCGGCCUAUCAGGUAGUAGUGGGUGUAAUGUACCUACUAGCCAGCGACGGGUACGGGUUGUGAGAGCAAGAGCCCGGAGAUGGAUUCUGAGACAUGAAUCCAGGCCCUACGGGGCGCAGCAGGCGCGAAAACUUUACAAUGCGGGAAACCGUGAUAAGGGGACACCGAGUGCCAGCAUCAUAUGCUGGCUGUCCAGGUGUGUAAAAUACACCUGUUAGCAAGGGCCGGGCAAGACCGGUGCCAGCCGCCGCGGUAACACCGGCGGCCCGAGUGGUGAUCGUGAUUAUUGGGUCUAAAGGGUCCGUAGCCGGUUUGGUCAGUCCUCCGGGAAAUCUGAUAGCUCAACUAUUAGGCUUUCGGGGGAUACUGCCAGACUUGGAACCGGGAGAGGUAAGAGGUAC
Molecule: ribosomal RNA, 614 nt
Filed under: uncultured archaeon
Lineage: Archaea
Description: bacterial SSU rRNA
Rfam family: Archaeal small subunit ribosomal RNA
Source: RNAcentral